Denticeps clupeoides (denticle herring) is the source of this 668-nucleotide long non-coding RNA. NCBI's taxonomy places the organism in Eukaryota, Metazoa, Chordata, Actinopteri, Clupeiformes, Denticipitidae. The record is from Ensembl.
CACAGAGACGUACCUGAGACUGGAGUCUUCCAGAGUGUCUCUGGAUAGGUGAGCAGCAGUUGCUAUCAGUAGAACAUCUGUUUUUAAAUUUCUAUUACGUCUUACCCUGCUUUACUGUUCACAGCCGUGCUGCAUUCCGCCGGCUCAAGAAGUCGUGUGAGGCCUUGAGCAUCCCUCCUCCUGAGCUGGUCUUCUCCAGGGAGAGCUGUCUGGUUGCCACGGCCUCCAUCCCCUUGAUUGAAAUGGAGAACCUUGGUUUCUGCAAUCUGGGCAACUCUUGCUUCAUGAACGCCAUCCUGCAGAGUUUGCUCAGUCUCAGCUCAGUUUGCAGCGACCUCGUGACACAAGAGUCUGCUGAGCCUGAGGAGAAGUCUGAGGACAGCCACACAUCCUUCAGCCUUCUGAGGAGUCUUGCCCAACUGCAUCUGUCAAGGAACAACAGCAAUAAGAUCAAGAAGGGUAUUCUGAAGGAGAUGGAGCAAUGGGCAUUUAGCUGUUUACCAGAUUUCUCAGAGGGGAUGGAUCAGGAUGCUCACGAGUUCCUGAUGAUGUGCCUGUCCCAAAUGAAAUCAGAGGGAGAGGCACUAAUGUUUAGCAGGGAGUCCUACCGGUGUCCAGUGGCCAACUUUGAGUUCAUGGUGGACUCUAUUCGCACCUGCAAGAGGUGA